CCUUUGAAGAGCUGCAGUUGUUUCUAAAGAGAGUAUGACCCGUAUAACACGUCGUCUAGUUCUUAAACGAACUUCGAUAGGUCCUCGUGGCACACCGAACCCACGCUUCUUCACGAUUAUUUCAUCGUGUACAAGAUCGAUCCCUCCCAACGACAUUUAGAGAAACAUUUUGAACCGAGGUACAUGGGGGCCUCACACAAGCGAGGCUCCAACGUCUUCUCUACUUGAAACUUAUUUUUCGUUGAUUAAAAGGGGAUUUUUUUUCAUUAGAACGGGACGGACGGACCAAAACGGUUUACUUCGCUGAGCGCAUAUCGAACUGUCUUAACCGGACGGCCUGUUGCGGGUUGGCUUUGUUGCUGCGGUUCGCUUCGCUUCGCGGCCCGGCGGCCCUAUGGUUUGUUUAUCGGGACGGCGUGCUCCACGUGCUGCACCUGGGGCGUGCAGCCGCGCCCGCUAAGGUGGCUGACGGGGGUGGUAAAGGGGCGGCGGGCCGUUGGCGGGCGCGUCGCGUCGGCGGAACCUUUGCUGCUCCGGUUCCCUCGGUUUAGGGCCGUGCCGUCCUGAGUAGGUGGAAAGGGGUGGCUUGUCGUUGUUGGUGGGCCUUAGGCCACCUUCUUAGCCGCCCCCUUAGGAGAGUCUAAGACGCCCGCUAGCAAUACGCGACUACCGCGGGACGGGACCGCCGCGCCCGCACGUGCGCGCGACCUGUCGCGCCCGCGACCGGCCGCGAAAGGAGCUGGAGCGGUAGCAGAUGCGGAAGGAGACGCGGCGCCGGCGGCGCAGGCGCCGGAGGCGGGAGGAGCGCGAGAAGGCGGAGGCGGAGGGGACGUGGACGAGGGCGGGCGUGGAGGGGACGGAGAAGCGGAAGGAGAAGGCGAUAGGGAGGGCGCAGGAGCUCAGGGAGGAGGAGAGGGAGGCGAGGGCGAAGGGGAAGCAGAAGUUGAGGCUGCUGCUGUCCGUCCUGCUCCCCCUCCUGCUUCUGCUCAGGCAGCUACUCCUUCUCCUUCUACACUUAGACUUCGCCCUCCACCUGCUCCCCUUACUGCAGAGCCACGACGUCGUCCUCGACCUGUUCCUUGCGUCGCGGCGUCGUAGGCGCCGGCUCCUCCGGUACCGCUACUAGGACGCAGACGUCUUCCUCUUUAGCAGGAACCUCUACCUCCACGCCGUCGUCGCGGCGUGGAGACUACUCGCGACGCGGAAGAUACUCCUACUCCACCUCCUCGAGUUCCUGUAGAACGAGUACUCCCUCGCGCUCUGGUCCAGAAACGUCUUUCUCCACCUCAGGAUGGCCGCAUACGAACCAGAGUGGCCCCUACUACUACUGCUCCUCCACCUCUACUACUGCGGCGUGUCAAUGAAAGAUCUCCCGCUCGGUUCGAGAAGGUCUAGCCAACUAUUCUUACGCCCCCAAGUUGGACCCUUAUUAAGACAGAAGUCGAAGGUCUUCGUCAAGCACGCGGUUGUUCACAGCGGGUAAGCACACCCAGCACAAUUCCUACCCUUACUCCUGUCAGACGGAAAAGUCCGUGGACCUCUUCAAGGACACCGGCCUAGCUUUAACCCCCGUCUAUCUACGCUUCUACUACCGUGCCUCUGCCACCAUUAAGAGGGGGAUAGACGGGCCUCAAACACGAACGGGGUUAGACGUGCUACAGACCUAGUUCCACCACUACAACUUCAAUUACGACGUCGACCAUACUUUCCAUACCUUCUCGACUGACGACUACUUAAAGUCCUCCACCUGUCACCCGCCGAUCUGUCCUGAACGGUACUAAAAUACCGUUCGCUGUUACUACGUUUAUAUAAACUACACGUACAACAACUACUAUAAACGAAGAGGUGACUUCAAUUUCCGGACUAGCCAGCUUCGAAGAGACUGCGUUGUUACGUUCGUCUGUUCAACGUCUUAGCUCGACGGUGUCUACUAGAGGACCCCUUUUCAGACUUACGCUAGUUUCCACGUGUUUUGUUCUAUUCCGAACGUCGUUCACUUUCCUCCGUUAGCAAUGUCAACGUUGAGAAUCUCCUAUAUCGACUGGUUGAAGUUCUUUAGUUUCUACAACGUCUGCGCCCCGCUGUGAGUGUGACAUAAAGAGGAUUUUAAAGUUUCUUUUCGAUCCUGUCCGUAUAAAACAGUGCCGCCGUGCCAACUACAACAUCUAUAAACAAAAGCAAACAUCAGAGAGGAGAGCCGUAAUGUAGGAAUUCCAAACAAACAAGAAAGUUUAAUUAUCAUAUACCCAACGAUUACUACGUUUACGUGUAUCUCCAAAUGACUCACGAACAUUAGUAUACAAACAGAAUUUGACUAACACAUGAAACACACGUCUAAUUAAAGAAUAAACAUCAAACUAGUCGUAAUUUGCAUCAUACGGUUCAUACAAGACGUCUAAUUAAAUAAUAAAAAAAGCGUUUUUUUUCUAAUUAAA
Molecule: ribosomal RNA, 2435 nt
Filed under: Triticum aestivum (bread wheat)
Lineage: Eukaryota; Viridiplantae; Streptophyta; Magnoliopsida; Poales; Poaceae
Description: partial small subunit ribosomal RNA
Source: RNAcentral